AAAAAUUUUAAAAAAUGAGCAAAUGAUGCAUGGUAAGCAAUGAAAUAUUGAACUGGACUAAUAAGCCAGGAGGAUAAUUAAGGUGUAUUAUUAAAAUUCCUAUUUACUUAUCAAAUGAGAAAUGCGCAGUUCGUAGUUUCCUUUUAGAGCAAGGCAUACAUACGUUCACAGAACAGAAAAACUCCCAAAUUUUCAUGGAGUUCACAUUAGGUUUAUAUUUAUUCUUCGGAGUUGCACACUGAAUAUAAGUGGAUGGCUGCAAAUUUUGCAGAUAGCAGAACAUAUUAUCAUUGCUACAACUAAUGAAUGAAGCAAAAUUACAAUCCAGAAAUCAAAUAAUAAUACAGAAAAUAAAGAUAUGAUACAAGCAUGAAAAAAUAAACAAUGAGAACAAUUAGAUAAAAACAGGAAAAAGAUACAAAUAAA
Molecule: unclassified non-coding RNA, 426 nt
Filed under: Hevea brasiliensis (rubber tree)
Lineage: Eukaryota; Viridiplantae; Streptophyta; Magnoliopsida; Malpighiales; Euphorbiaceae
Source: RNAcentral